GUUUGAGACCGAAGGUUUCCAAGUGGCAGCGCUUCAUACUCAUAUUCAUACCCGCUUUCGCUCGGGGGAGAGGUUGCUCCCUUCUCCCCCCUGAAACUGAAGCUGCUGUCAUCAGAUUUGGUGUCUGUGAGCAUGAGCAUGCAUGAAUUCUGCAGUGAAGAUUCUACUUCCAAAUUGGGUCAUCAAAGAGUUUAGUUAAACACAAUUAAUAAGUGUAAAAGCAGACUGCAGCUGAAUUUACUGAGUCAAAAAUCAUAUUAUUAGAUGAACACCACCAGAAGAAAAUAGUAAGAUUGCAGAGCAUAGUGUGGGAAAGGAACCAUGGCAUUGAUUAAUUGAUAAUGACCUUAAACUUUAUUCUCAGCAUUAGAUUGACUUCUGCUUCCUGUUUCUAUACUGAAGCCCUCUAUUUGGUUCAGCUCUUAGUAGAUCAAGGCAAGCAUCAAAGAAUGUCCUUAAGAAACAGAUAGUCAAGGUAGCUGCCACUGGAGAGUCUUCAGAGGAUGAAGAAUUAAGCCUGGCAGGUAUUGUGAAAGUUUCCAAAAUGCCACGUCUGUGUUGGAUUAUAUAGCAUCCAAGGACAGUCUCAUCAGAUCUUGAAUGAAAUUGUUGUGAAAUGGGGGCUUGUUUAGAAAUGAAUACUUUCCAUGUAUAAGUGCAACUGAAAGGGAAUGAACCCCCUCCUGUCUGUCAAUGAUUAAUGGGAGAAAUAGAAUGUUUAUUAUUGAGAUGUAAUUUGCUAAUCUAGUCAUAAGCAGGGAGACUAUGAAUUAUUAGCAGAAUGUGUAAACUAGAAAAUGGAGUGAUUAAUUCAAAAUACAUUUAGAACUGGAUCCUCAGGUAGUGUAAAUUGAUGUAGGUCAUUUGAUUUAUCAGUUGAGUAACCUGGCUGUUUUCUAUUUUUCAAUAAACGUCACUUUUAUCAAAAA
Molecule: long non-coding RNA, 929 nt
Organism: Alligator mississippiensis (American alligator)
Lineage: Eukaryota; Metazoa; Chordata; Crocodylia; Alligatoridae
Exons: 2
Source: RefSeq, a predicted model, not a curated record